CCUACGGGAGGCAGCAGUGAGGAAUAUUGGUCAAUGGACGAGAGUCUGAACCAGCCAAGUAGCGUGAAGGAUGACUGCCCUACGGGUUGUAAACUUCUUUUAUAUGGGAAUAAAACGUUCCACGUGUGGCUUUUUGUAUGUACCAUAUGAAUAAGGAUCGGCUAACUCCGUGCCAGCAGCCGCGGUAAUACGGAGGAUCCGAGCGUUAUCCGGAUUUAUUGGGUUUAAAGGGAGCGUAGGUGGGUUGUUAAUUCAGUUGUGAAAGUUUGCGGCUCAACCGUAAAAUUGCAGUUGAUACUGGCAGCCUUGAGUACAGUAGAGGUGGGCGGAAUUCGUGGUGUAGCGGUGAAAUGCUUAGAUAUCACGAAGAACUCCGAUUGCGAAGGCAGUCUACUAGACUGCAACUGACACUGAUGCUCGAAAGUGUGGGUAUCAAACAGGAUUAGAUACCCGGGUAGUC
This 460-nucleotide ribosomal RNA is filed under the name uncultured bacterium. Its description in RNAcentral is "partial 16S ribosomal RNA". It matches the Rfam family "Bacterial small subunit ribosomal RNA", at positions 338 to 795 of the family's 1533-position model. The record is from RNAcentral.